RNAcentral lists this ribosomal RNA (585 nucleotides) under uncultured bacterium. RNAcentral describes it as "partial 16S ribosomal RNA". It matches the Rfam family "Bacterial small subunit ribosomal RNA", at positions 355 to 1375 of the family's 1533-position model. The record is from RNAcentral.
UGGGGAAUUUUGGACAAUGGGCGAAAGCCUGAUCCAGCAGUGCCGCGUGUGUGAAGAAGGCCUUCGGGUUGUAAAGCACUUUUGUCCGGAAAGAAAUCCUUGGCUCUAAUACAGUCGGGGGAUGACGGUACCGGAAGAAUAAGCACCGGCUAACUACGUGCCAGCAGCCGCGGUAAUACGUAGGGUGCAAGCGUUAAUCGGAAUUACUGGGCGUAAAGCGUGCGCAGGCGGUUUGCUAAGACCGAUGUGAAAUCCCCGGGCUCAACCUGGGAACUGCAUUGGUGACUGGCAGGCUAGAGUAUGGCAGAGGGGGGUAGAAUUCCGCGUGUAGCAGUGAAAUGCGUAGAGAUGUGGAGGAAUACCGAUGGCGAAGGCAGCCCCCUGGGCCAAAUACUGACGCUCCUGCACGAAAGCGUGGGGAGCAAACAGGAUUAGAUACCCUGGUAGUCCACGCCCUAAACGAUGUCACUAGUUGUUGGGGAUUCAUUUCCUUAGUAACGUAGCUAACGCGUGAAGUUGACCGCCUGGGGAGUACGGUCGCAAGAUUAAAACUUAAAGGAAUUGACGGGGUCAUAGCUGUUUCCU